CAGUCGCCGCGGUAAUACGUAGGGUGCGAGCGUUAAUCGGAAUUACUGGGCGUAAAGCGUGCGCAGGCGGUUUUGUAAGACAGGCGUGAAAUCCCCGGGCUCAACCUGGGAAUGGCGCUUGUGACUGCAAAGCUAGAGUGCGGCAGAGGGGGAUGGAAUUCCGCGUGUAGCAGUGAAAUGCGUAGAUAUGCGGAGGAACACCGAUGGCGAAGGCAAUCCCCUGGGCCUGCACUGACGCUCAUGCACGAAAGCGUGGGGAGCAAACAGGAUUAGAUACCCGCGUAGUCCCUGUCUCUUAUCU
This 301-nucleotide ribosomal RNA is filed under the name uncultured bacterium. Its description in RNAcentral is "partial 16S ribosomal RNA". It matches the Rfam family "Bacterial small subunit ribosomal RNA", at positions 509 to 809 of the family's 1533-position model. The record is from RNAcentral.